Molecule: ribosomal RNA, 229 nt
Filed under: uncultured bacterium
Lineage: Bacteria
Description: partial 16S ribosomal RNA
Rfam family: Bacterial small subunit ribosomal RNA
Source: RNAcentral
UGCGCAGGUGGGGAUGUAAGUCAGUGGUGAAAUGUUGCCGCUCAACGGUAAAAUUGCCAUUGAUACUGCAUCUCUUGAGUAUGGUUGAGGUAGGCGGAAUGUGUUGUGUAGCGGUGAAAUGCAUAGAUAUGACACAGAACACCGAUUGCGAAGGCAGCUUACUAAGCCAUUACUGACGCUGAGGCACGAAAGCGUGGGGAGCGAACAGGAUUAGAUACCCUGGUAGUCC